CUCGAUAGCUCAGUCGGUAGAGCACAACACUUUUAAUGUUGGGGUCCUGGGUUCGAGCCCCAGUCGGGUCACAA
RNAcentral lists this transfer RNA (74 nucleotides) under Flavobacterium sp. RNAcentral describes it as "tRNA-Lys". It matches the Rfam family "tRNA". Rfam says of the family: Transfer RNA (tRNA) molecules are approximately 80 nucleotides in length. Their secondary structure includes four short double-helical elements and three loops (D, anti-codon, and T loops). Lineage: Bacteria; Pseudomonadati; Bacteroidota; Flavobacteriia; Flavobacteriales; Flavobacteriaceae. The record is from RNAcentral.